UACAGAGGGUGCAAGCGUUGUUCGGAAUUAUUGGGCGUAAAGCGCGUGUAGGCGGCCUAGUAAGUUGGGUGUGAAAGCCCUCGGCUUAACCGAGGAAGUGCGCCCAAAACUGCCUGGCUUGAGUACCGGAGAGGAUGGUGGAAUUCCCGGUGUAGAGGUGAAAUUCGUAGAUAUCGGGAGGAACACCAGUGGCGAAGGCGACCAUCUGGACGGAUACUGACGCUGAGACGCGAAAGCGUGGGUAGCAAACAGG
This 253-nucleotide ribosomal RNA is filed under the name uncultured prokaryote. Its description in RNAcentral is "partial 16S ribosomal RNA". It matches the Rfam family "Bacterial small subunit ribosomal RNA", at positions 524 to 776 of the family's 1533-position model. The record is from RNAcentral.